RNAcentral lists this long non-coding RNA (576 nucleotides) under Phascolarctos cinereus (koala). Its description in RNAcentral is "lncRNA (ENSPCIG00000006429.2)". Lineage: Eukaryota; Metazoa; Chordata; Mammalia; Diprotodontia; Phascolarctidae. The record is from RNAcentral.
UUUAGCAAGAAAUUAUAAAUGCCUACCAUUUUUCCAGUGCUGAAUUAAGAACCAGAGAUACAAAGAUAAAUGAAAUAAUGCCUGGCCUUAUAGAGCUUAUGUUCUACUGGACAGAAAGAAAAGAAAACCAAUGAAAUAAGAAGAGUUCUUCUAGAAGUUAUGUCAAACUAUCAAGUCUGCAACCAAGGAGAAAUCUACAUACAUUCACCUGCCUCCUGUCACUGGUUAUCCACCAGGUGAUUUAGAAGACAGGACACAAAUGUUUCUAAGGUCCUGUGAAAGAAAACGUUGUCAUAGGGGAGAGGAGGGAGACAAAAACUGGAGACUGCCGGCACAUACUUACCUCUGACAUCACGCUUGGGCUUUUUAUCUUCAUUCCUUUUUAUUUCCCUGCUACCAACUAAGAUUGAACAUGAACUCACACCAUGGUUUUAACGAUGAAUAGAAACACUGAGAUAAUCAGACACAGCAAGAGUAUGGGCAAGAACCUCCAAGAGGACUCAGGGAAGCCAAAUUAGCCAUUUUUUUGUCACUCUCAAACAGCGAUUACAAGUCUCUCCCAGAGUAAGUUUUUUC